RNAcentral lists this ribosomal RNA (468 nucleotides) under uncultured bacterium. RNAcentral describes it as "bacterial SSU rRNA". It matches the Rfam family "Bacterial small subunit ribosomal RNA", at positions 28 to 524 of the family's 1533-position model. The record is from RNAcentral.
GACGAACGCUGGCGGCAUGCCUAACACAUGCAAGUCUAGGGGUAGCAAUACCACUGGCGCACGGGUGAGUAACACGUAGGUUAUCUGCCCCCAUCACAGACAUAACCCCGGGAAACCCGGGGCUAAUAUCUGAUGAGGUCGCGAGAUCAAAGCUUCGGCGGAUGGGAGUGAGCCUGCGGCUGAUUAGCUAGUUGGUGAGGUAAUGGCUCACCAAGGCGACGAUCAGUAGCUGGUCUGAGAGGACGAACAGCCACACUGGAACUGAGAUACGGUCCAGACUCCUACGGGAGGCAGCAGUGAGGAAUAUUGGUCAAUGGGAGCAAUCCUGAACCAGCAAUGCCGCGUGUGGGAUGACAGGGCGUUCGCCUUGUAAACCACUGUCGGACGGGACGAAAGGAGGCCUCGGGCCUCUGGGACGGUACCGUCAAAGGAAGGGUCGGCUAACUACGUGCCAGCAGCCGCGGUAAU